This 253-nucleotide ribosomal RNA is filed under the name uncultured bacterium. RNAcentral describes it as "partial 16S ribosomal RNA". It matches the Rfam family "Bacterial small subunit ribosomal RNA", at positions 524 to 776 of the family's 1533-position model. The record is from RNAcentral.
UACGGAGGAUGCAAGCGUUAUCCGGAAUGAUUGGGCGUAAAGCGUCCGCAGGUAGCGAUGUAAGUCUGCUGUUAAAGAGUCUAGCUCAACUAGAUAAGAGCAGUGGAAACUACAUAGCUAGAGUACGUUCGGGGCAGAGGGAAUUCCUGGUGUAGCGGUGAAAUGCGUAGAGAUCAGGAAGAACACCAGUGGCGAAGGCGCUCUGCUAGGCCGUAACUGACACUGAGGGACGAAAGCUAGGGGAGCGAAUGGG